RNAcentral lists this unclassified non-coding RNA (454 nucleotides) under Hevea brasiliensis (rubber tree). The record is from RNAcentral. Lineage: Eukaryota; Viridiplantae; Streptophyta; Magnoliopsida; Malpighiales; Euphorbiaceae.
AUUUUUGAUACAAUCUUCUGGAACUUGGGACCAGUACAAUUUAUAGCUCAAAGUUUGUCCAAUGCAGUAAAAAGGAAUAAUACUAGACAAGAUUAGGAUAAUUGUGUUGCAAUAUGGAACAGAAACUCUAAUAUACCCCUAUUAAUCGAUAUAAAUUGCUGAGAUGUAAAUGAAAAAUGGCAAAAAGUUCUUAACUUUCCGGUGUAAGAUAAUACAUGCUUCAUCAUUCUCAAGAGAUCCUACAAGGUCUUCUGGGAUACCACAUUGCCCUACCACAUCUGUAAAGCAUUCUGUACGACCGUCGUACUAGCUUCCUACUCGCACUUGAUUGACCGGUAUAUAUGACGGACAAAAAAUAGGGCUGCACGGAAACCCACAGUCCCCAGCAUGAGGAAGAAACCAUAGCAGAUGCAAGCCAUGUAUCCAAAGAAGAAUGAGGUUUGCAUGAAGCCAG